This 210-nucleotide long non-coding RNA is filed under the name Elaeis guineensis (African oil palm). Its description in RNAcentral is "long non-coding RNA (EGUI_LNC025271)". The record is from RNAcentral. Lineage: Eukaryota; Viridiplantae; Streptophyta; Magnoliopsida; Arecales; Arecaceae.
CGGUGCACUAAUACGACUUUAAAGAGGAGGGGGUUGGUGGGCCUUUUACCCCUUCGAGGGCGAGGCCGCUGCAUAAGCUUGGACCUUUCUCAGAAGACAAAAUUGGUCACUGCCAAGCUGCCGGAAGAUCCCACAAGCAACAGAAAAGAUAAAAUGAAGGGAUAGAACGUGAGAAGUGUUUAACGGCUAACUGCUCCCACCAUGCAUGUU